Molecule: long non-coding RNA, 622 nt
Organism: Glycine soja
Lineage: Eukaryota; Viridiplantae; Streptophyta; Magnoliopsida; Fabales; Fabaceae
Exons: 5
Source: RefSeq, a predicted model, not a curated record
ACACACUAAAGUUGUAAUUUUUAUCUCAAAAACUCCAUGAGUACAGAGAAGGUGGAAGAACACACUAAAGUUGAGAUUUUUAUCUCAAAAACUCCAUGAGUACAGAGAAGGUGAAAGAACACAUUAAAGUUGAGAUUUUUAUCUCAAAAACUCCAUGAGUACAGAGAAGGUGGAAGAAGACACUAAAGCUGCGAUUUUUAUCUCAAACUCCAUGAAUACAUGUUCGUUUUCUUGCUUUGUCUAUCAAAGCUUAAAUUUGUGUUUUGAGCCUUCUCCGACGUGCUUCCCCUGCCAUUUUCAAUUUUUAUCUCCAAACUCCAUGAAUACAGUUGAAUUUCUCGGAAACGGACCCGUUCAUAAGUAUCAAAUGAACAUAGUUGGAUUGUUGUUGUUCUGCCUUAAUGGAAAAAUAUGGAUCUUUGUGUUACAUUCGCUACCUAUUUUUAUCUUUUUUGUGUUUCAUGUUUGAGUUUCUUUCUUUACGUGUUCAUUAAUGUAUUACUUGCAAAAAAUAAUGUUUAUUACUAUGAUUAACUUUGAGGUUCACGAGCUAUCUUGAAUCUUCUCCAAUUCUGUUCUUAUCAUGGUAACGUAUCAACGUGUACAAAAUCUCUGUUGUAGU